UAAUACUGCAGGUAGAAAUACGCUGUAUACUCGUGUAAUCGAAUUAACGUUUAAGCGAUAUGUAAUGUCGUCGAUCACGGGGGCCGCCUUCGGGCGGCUUUUUUACUUU
RNAcentral lists this non-coding RNA (109 nucleotides) under unclassified sequences. RNAcentral describes it as "DUF3800-I RNA". It matches the Rfam family "DUF3800-I RNA". Rfam says of the family: Actinobacteria, Firmicutes, Fusobacteria, Proteobacteria (1 example), Tenericutes (2 examples). The record is from Rfam by way of RNAcentral.